Molecule: ribosomal RNA, 410 nt
Filed under: uncultured bacterium
Lineage: Bacteria
Description: bacterial SSU rRNA
Rfam family: Bacterial small subunit ribosomal RNA
Source: RNAcentral
UUACCCGGGUUUGACAUUGUAUCGAAGCAUCCAGAGAUGGAUGUGUCUCUUCGGAGACGGUAUGACAGGUGCUGCAUGGCUGUCGUCAGCUCGUGCCGUGAGGUGUUGGGUUAAGUCCCGCACGAGCGCAACCCCUAUCUUUAGUUGCCAUCAGUUCGGCUGGGCACUCUAUGGAGACUGCCACCUAAAGUGGAGGAAGGUGGGGAUGACGUCAAGUCAGCAUGGCCCUUACGUCCGGGGCUACACACGUGCUACAAUGGCCGGUACAAAGGGUUGCGAAGCCGUGAGGUGGAGCGAAUCUCAAAAAGCCGGCCUCAGUUCGGAUUGGAGGCUGCAACUCGCCUCCAUGAAGUCGGAAUCGCUAGUAACCGCAGAUCAGCUACGUUGCGGUGAAUACGUUCCCGGGCCUU